AGAGUUUGAUCAUGGCUCAGGAUGAACGCUAGCUACAGGCUUAACACAUGCAAGUCGAGGGGCAGCAUGGUCUUAGCUUGCUAAGACUGAUGGCGACCGGCGCACGGGUGAGUAACACGUAUCCAACCUGCCGUCUACUCUUGGACAGCCUUCUGAAAGGAAGAUUAAUACAAGAUGGCAUCAUGAGUCCGCAUGUUCACAUGAUUAAAGGUAUUCCGGUAGACGAUGGGGAUGCGUUCCAUUAGAUAGUAGGCGGGGUAACGGCCCACCUAGUCUUCGAUGGAUAGGGGUUCUGAGAGGAAGGUCCCCCACAUUGGAACUGAGACACGGUCCAAACUCCUACGGGAGGCAGCAGUGAGGAAUAUUGGUCAAUGGGCGAGAGCCUGAACCAGCCAAGUAGCGUGAAGGAUGACUGCCCUAUGGGUUGUAAACUUCUUUUAUAAAGGAAUAAAGUCGGGUACGCAUACCCGUUUGCAUGUACUUUAUGAAUAAGGAUCGGCUAACUCCGUGCCAGCAGCCGCGGUAAUACGGAGGAUCCGAGCGUUAUCCGGAUUUAUUGGGUUUAAAGGGAGCGUAGAUAGAUGUUUAAGUCAGUUGUGAAAGUUUGCGGCUCAACCGUAAAAUUGCAGUUGAUACUGGAUAUCUUGAGUGCAGUUGAGGCAGGCGGAAUUCGUGGUGUAGCGGUGAAAUGCUUAGAUAUCACGAAGAACUCCGAUUGCGAAGGCAGCCUGCUAAGCUGCAACUGACAUUGAGGCUCGAAAGUGUGGGUAUCAAACAGGAUUAGAUACCCUGGUAGUCCACACGGUAAACGAUGAAUACUCGCUGUUUGCGAUAUACGGCAAGCGGCCAAGCGAAAGCGUUAAGUAUUCCACCUGGGGAGUACGCCGGCAACGGUGAAACUCAAAGGAAUUGACGGGGGCCCGCACAAGCGGAGGAACAUGUGGUUUAAUUCGAUGAUACGCGAGGAACCUUACCCGGGCUUAAAUUGCAGAUGAAUUACGGUGAAAGCCGUAAGCCGCAAGGCAUCUGUGAAGGUGCUGCAUGGUUGUCGUCAGCUCGUGCCGUGAGGUGUCGGCUUAAGUGCCAUAACGAGCGCAACCCUUGUUGUCAGUUACUAACAGGUUCUGCUGAGGACUCUGGCAAGACUGCCAUCGUAAGAUGUGAGGAAGGUGGGGAUGACGUCAAAUCAGCACGGCCCUUACGUCCGGGGCUACACACGUGUUACAAUGGGGGGUACAGAGGGCCGCUACCACGCGAGUGGAUGCCAAUCCCCAAAACCUCUCUCAGUUCGGACUGGAGUCUGCAACCCGACUCCACGAAGCUGGAUUCGCUAGUAAUCGCGCAUCAGCCACGGCGCGGUGAAUACGUUCCCGGGCCUUGUACACACCGCCCGUCAAGCCAUGGGAGCCGGGGGUACCUGAAGUGCGUAACCGCGAGGAGCGCCCUAGGGUAAAACUGGUGACUGGGGCUAAGUCGUAACAAGGUA
RNAcentral lists this ribosomal RNA (1486 nucleotides) under metagenome. Its description in RNAcentral is "bacterial SSU rRNA". It matches the Rfam family "Bacterial small subunit ribosomal RNA". The record is from RNAcentral.